Long non-coding RNA from Oncorhynchus tshawytscha (Chinook salmon), 3852 nucleotides. The record is from Ensembl. Lineage: Eukaryota; Metazoa; Chordata; Actinopteri; Salmoniformes; Salmonidae.
UUUGUAUCCAAUGAUUGUACGUUGGCUAAUAGGACUAAUGGUAGAGGCAGAUUACCCACUCGCCGUCGGAUCCUUACAAGGCACCUCAACCUACAUCCCGGAUGUCUCUUUCUCCUGCAAAUCAUAGGGAUGAGGGCCUUGUCGGGUGUCUGAAGUAAAUCCUUCGCGUCCGACUCGUUAAAGAAAAAAAUCUUCAUCCAGUACGAGGUGAGUAAUCGCUGUUCUGAUAUCCAGAAGCUCUUUUCGGUCAAAACAGACAGUGGCAGAAACAUUCUGUACAAAAUAUGUUACAAAAAAACACACACAAUAGCACAAUUGGCUAAGUGCCCGUAAAACAACAGCCAUCUCCUCCGGCGCCAUUCACUAUCUACAGACAAUGCUUCUACAAAAUGAUAGCAAGGAUGGAGUUUGAUAACAUCUGCAGCUCCACAGUGUGACUUUCACCAUUUUGGAAUGUAAACAAUUCUUCUUCUACAUGGUUUAGCAUAUUAAACGAACGACACACAUCAACACAGGACAGUGGCCCCCAAGUGGUCAACAAUGAAAUUACACAAUAGCCUAAAGGAACUCAAACAUAAAUACCAAAAUUGAGAGAACUUAGGCAAAAAUUCAAGCAAUUUAAAAUGUGUUUGCUCAACUUGUCUCAUGUUCAUUUGAAAUAUAAAUUAUUAUUUGUGCAUCUUUACUAAAAAAGGCUGUGUAACUGGUUACACACACAGAAACAUUGCUUUUAACAUACAAUGUUUUAAACGUACAUAUUUGACACAUGAUUACAUUGUGUGUCAAGGCAGGGUAGCCGGGUAGCCCAGUGGUUAGAGCGUUGGACUAGCAAGUUCAAACCCCCGAGCUGACAAGGUACAAAUCUGUCGUUCUGCCCCUGAACAGGCAGUUAACCCACUGUUCCUAGGCCAUCAUUGAAAAUAAGAAUUUGUUCUUAACUGACUUGCCUAGUUAAAUAAAGGUAAAAUUAAAUUCUACAUUUAUACAAUAAUUAUUGUGUCUUCACCUGGGAUUGUCAUACCCAAGAAGACUCGAGUACAGAGUAAAGGUUCUGAAUACUUAUGUAAAUGUGAUAUUUCUGAGGGGGGGUUUAUUACAUCUGCAAAAUUUCUAAAAACCAGUUUUACCUUUGUCAUUAUGGGGUAUUGUGUUUAGACUGAUGAGGGGGGAAAUCAAUUUUAGAAUAAAGCUGUAACGUAACAAAAUGUAGAAAAAUUCAAGGGGUUUGAGUAUGUAUGUUGAAAACAUUGUAUGUUAAAAGCAUUGUGUGUGUAACUAGUUCCACAGCCUGGUUUAGGUAAGAUGCCCAAUUUAUUUUCACAUGAGACAAUUUCACAUAUGAGACAAUUUGAGCAAAUACAUCAUUUUAAGUUGACUGAAUUUUUUGGCUUACAUUUUCUCAAGUUGAAACUAAGCACACUUUUAUUUCAGGUAUUUUUGGGGGUUCAGGUAAUAAAUACAUGAAAAGUUGAGGAAACAGGCUGUGGAACCACUUACCUUAUUAUAAUUACAUUUAAACUAUGAAUUAUAAACAACAAUUUCUCCAUUUAACUGUUCAACUCUUUCUAACUAAAAUAUUCUCAAGGAAGAGAAGAGAGGUUUUGCACUCCCUCCCUCAGCCCAGCCAACCACCUUUUUAGAGUUAAAGGUCUUCUAAAGGGUUUUAAUAGAUGACAAGAGAGAUUAUCCAGGGCAGGUCAUGACCACAUGGUGUGAGAGAGUGGGACCAGACUACAUGGCAGGAACCCAGUGGUGGCCUGGCCGGCCUGAGCCACACACCAUGACAACAUUCCACACAGCCCAGAGAGAUAAGGAAACUAAUAGUUUCGCUCUACGCUCAGAUGCUCAAAUUAUUUCACUUUUUAUGCACUUGCCCUUGGUUCAAAAUUUCUUGUUUCAGUUCAGUGUUCCUGAUAACACUUUCAGUGAACCAUCUGUGUAAUGGUUAUAUAUUCAUUUACAAUAUACUGUCUAGUAUAAUAUAGUAUUACAGUGGAUUUUGGGGCUUUUAUACACACUGUCAUAAGGAACCAUGAAUUCUUAUGACCCUUUUGCAAUAGGUUUCUGUGGUCCUCAUGUCUCAGAUAAAUAUCUUGGCUAUCUUCCUUUAUAAUAGUAUUCCAUUCAUAUUUUCCCUUAGUAGUGUCCUGUGGUUGGCUGGCCACGCCAAGGUACAUGGUCGACUUUUUAUUCAUUCACAUUAUUAGACACACUUUCUGAUAAUAAAAUUAGCGUAAAUCGUAAAAUUCAGAAAAAUGAAAACGGAAUUUGGGAAAAACUAUAACGAAUUUCAUAGGGCUCAACAAAGUGUAUUGUAUACUCCGCUUUUAAUAACCCACCUCAGAUGUUAUACCUACUUGGUACUACUGUAUGUGUUGCCUGUUUCACAGUUUGUUUUGUUCAAAUCACAUGCUUGAGUAUUUCAAAUAAAAGCCAUUGGCAGUGAGUGUCCUGAAAUGACAACCCAAGCGACUUUCAAAAGCCCAUUUAGCGUGACUCAUUUUACGGUGCAUGUGCACUAGAUAGCGGUAAAUUGCAGCGUGUCGCUUAGGCCGCCCAUUGUGACUCGCUUGUGGGCGUGCUGGCAGCAUAUAGCAGCAUGUUCGAUUAUGCGUCAAGAAUACAGCAUAGCAAGUUUGUAUGAAGGUCUGGUUAGUAAAUGGGUACAUGGUUCAAUAGUAAUAUCCUCUAAAACGCACUGGUGACAAACAAACUUUGCUGCCCUGUUUCCAAUUGUCCACAUGGCAGGGAGAACCUAUUCAAGUAAGUAAAUACAUUUCGAAAAUGUAGAAGAAACCUAUGUAUUAUUAGCUAACUAGCUACAGUGCAGGCUAACUCAAAUGAGCUAGCUCACUAUCUAGCCAACUUCACAUACUGUGUAGAUAGGUAGCUGGUGAUAUUUAAUUCAGUUAGCUAGCUAUGUAUCUUGAUGUAUUUAUCACUGUAAAAAAACAAACUCCAACUGCACUUGUAGGUAACGUUAGCUAGCUAACAGCCAUGGAGGAGGGUGAAAGGAUAGGAUAUUUAUGUAUUAACUGUCAAAGUGAGAGAAUAGGCUAUUCAGGAUAGGGCAGGUACUUUUGUGUAGUUCCUGUCCCUAGAAGUGAGGACGGAGAUAAUAGUAACAUAAUAUUCAGUGGGGUGUAAUUUGACUAUAAUGAAGUCUGUUUCUUGUGAGGUUGUCUGUCCUCAGAUAAAGAGCUAUGAAAGCCUACAUGUCUACAUGUGAAGAGCAGUGGUUCUCAAUCCCGGUCCUGGGACUCAAAGGGAUACCUUGUAACUGGAGAUUCCUUCAAAACGAUUGACUACAGUUAUCGUGUAGGGCACUGCAAGGUUGGGUGACCAGGACCAUUUGGGACUGCCUCCUGGAGGAAUUCAGCAUAAAGUAUUCUGCAGCCACUUAGUGUGGUGUGAACACCAGGUUAUAUCAGCUGUGUCGGUCAACCCCUCCCACAUCUGAACUGGCUACAUAGAGGGCACAGCAUGAUCAGAGUUAUGUUUUGAUGUGAGAGAGGAUGCCAACCCCCAGUCCCAUCAUCGCCACCUCACCUGCUUUUAAGAUAACCUUCGGGCCGACGAGACACUAGUAUGUAAUUGUGAUGAACUGAGAAUAUUUGGGUAGCACUGAUUUAUGAAUCAUAUCCCUGCUCCUAUGUUCUUAUCUCUUUCCCUUUCUGUCUUUUACACCUUUCUCGCCACCUCCUUUCUUCCUCUGUUUUUAUAAUGCACAACAGAUGUGCAUUGAAGUAUAGAUUGAAUUUGCAUUGAUAUUAUAAUUGUAAUAUAUUAUAAAUACAUGUAUUUAUAACACUUGGAUAAUGAACAUAUUUCAAUAAAGUGUUUCACAUUCUC